Molecule: ribosomal RNA, 305 nt
Filed under: uncultured bacterium
Lineage: Bacteria
Description: bacterial SSU rRNA
Rfam family: Bacterial small subunit ribosomal RNA
Source: RNAcentral
UCCUACGGGAGGCAGCAGUGGGGGAUAUUGCACAAUGGGGGAAACCCUGAUGCAGCGACGCCGCGUGGGCGAAGAAGUAUUUCGGUAUGUAAAGCCCUAUCAGCAGGGAAGAAGAAAUGACGGUACCUGAGUAAGAAGCUCCGGCUAACUACGUGCCAGCAGCCGCGGUAAUACGUAGGGAGCAAGCGUUGUCCGGAAUUACUGGGUGUAAAGGGAGCGUAGGCGGGAUGGCAAGUUGGGUGUUAAAUCUACCGGCUCAACUGGUAGUCGCACUCAAAACUGCUAUUCUUGAGUGAAGUAGAGGG